Labrus mixtus (cuckoo wrasse) is the source of this 676-nucleotide long non-coding RNA. RefSeq lists it as uncharacterized. The transcript has 2 exons. Lineage: Eukaryota; Metazoa; Chordata; Actinopteri; Labriformes; Labridae. The record is from RefSeq and is a predicted model, not a curated record.
CCCCCCCCCCCACUCCCUCCUGCUGCAUUCCUCUUUCUGCUUUCCUCGUAAAUCCCAGAGCAGUCCCAAGAGGGCCGUAACACCGGGAACGCCUUUCUCCAGCAGUUAUGGCUGUCCGUGGUCAAAUGCUUGCAGUGACACAAGAGAACCCCAGACCGUCUGUCAUGCUGUCCACAGUGAAACCAUCACCGGGCCAUCUGACCACGCCGCAGCUGUGACACAAUCUCUGCCUCUCUGCGUGGUGCCCGUCUGAAUGUGCAGAUUCACGUAAAGAGGCAAAGGAGACAGAAAAGGGACGGGGGGGGGGGGGGGGGGGGGACAGAGGAGGAGAAAGUGCAGCGGGCUUCUGUCACUUCCCUCGUAGUCUAAGCUCCUCUGCAGUGGCUAAAGUGGUGCUGGAAGGGGAAGCCAGAAUACCGGACACAAAAAUGACCUCUUGGCAUUUCGACCUUUUUGCUACCCGCGAGGCUGGUAGUGUUGACAGGACCCUGGUGGGGGAAGGGUAAACAAACGAGCCACAUGGAAAAGAACUCCAGGAAGCCGCAAGCCAGGAAGUAAAACAAAAACACAGAGAAACUUUCUUUAUAGCCACUCAAUCCAGAUUUGCAUGAAAUACAGACAAUACGGGUUGUCUGACUGCUCCUUAAUUUCACAAUAGUAAAACUUGAUUCCAAGA